AAGCAUUCUACGGAUUCCGUGAUUAGAGAAAUAUUUGCGGAGCGUCAUUUUUCUUGAAAGCUAAUUUAGUAAAUAAGAACUUGAUCGUAACAUCUAAAACCGGAAAAAAACUUAUCAAACUUUCAAGAACUGGAAAGAUCGUCGUCGUACAAGAGUAGAGUUUGACGCUAAAAAAAUUAAGGUGGUUUUGGAUUCUUCGUUGAAGUGUUUCGAAUAUGAAGUACUUGGUUGGAUUUCUCGUGAUAUGUUGUUUCGUCCAUACAGCUUUCAGUAUCACAUGUCACCACUGCUGGCCACCCAUGGAAGAAGAACAAUGCAAAAGAAGCACCAAUCGUAUNGACUGCAGGCCGUACAAGAGCUUGGGCUACGAUCGAUGUAUUGAGAUUCGUUUCCGCGGUAACCACACUCUCUCCCGGACCUGUUACCAGUCCCAUAUGUGUGACGGUGCAAGGGAAUGGUGUCGACGCUAUGGGCCAUGUACUGUCCGGUGUUGUGACUACAACAUGUGCAAUCCUGCUUCGACAUUCAAGUAUCUCUCCAUCAGUCAACUACUGGCGCCUUUAGUAGCCCUGUUCUGGAUUUUCCUUUAACUUUACAUUAAAAUGCCGAUUUGAUUAGACCCACCUCCCACCUAAACAUAAUCCUCCUUUCCCUACUCCUUCCAUCCCUUCUCUCACCCAAAAGUCAAUAAGAAGAAAACCCGAUCACAGUGUAAGAACAUAUAACAAUACUGUAUUUUAGUUGUUAUAAAUCUCGCUUUCUGAUUGGUUGGAGCGCGUGCUUUAUGAAACUAAUUGGUUGGAGCGCAUGCUCUAUGAAAGCAAACAGCACACGCGCGCUCCAUGCGCGCACACUUUCACUGGCGUCAUUCUUAUGUGAAAUAACUGUUAUUGUAAUGUGUAUUUUAGAGAAAUAAAAAACUUACUUGUUGUGCUGUGUGGAGUUAUAAAUCACUUGAGGAUUGGCAGAACACGAGAGAAGUGUCGAGAAGCACUCCGCUCUCCUUCGCUAUAACUGCACACAGCACGCGCGCGCGUUUUUGAUUUCUUCGAUAAAAGCGAUUCCAAGGUCGAGAAAAAACUGGGUCGAGUUGACACUGCAGUGCAUCGUGAGACUGUUUCAGGGAACAAAUUAGACGCAUUCUUGGAACUAUAAUAUGACUGCUCAAAUAUUCCCACAAUGAACUGCAAAGCCCACUUGAGCCAGUUUUGUCUUUUUCUUCUUUUUUAAUUUUUCUUUUUGUAAUCUCGAAAUGGAUAAAAGCUGUGACUUUAAAAAAAAAAAAUUUCAAAGGGGUAGUCCCCAACCUCAACAAGAAUUACUUGGAUUGUCUAAGCUCGUUAACAAACAACAUAACAUUUUAUUUCUUCAUAUUUGUAAAUAUAAUAACAGUAACAACAAGGCCUAAAUUUGAGAGUACAGAUAUUUUUGUUUUUUGUUAACUUAAAAGAACAUCAAGUAAAGAAAUAUGAGUAGCAAAUAAUUUAAGAUUAAGGGGGGUGUUUUAAAUCAAUCUUUAUCCAGUCCCGGGAAUCCGAAUAAAGAAAGUCCGGGACUGGACUAGAUUGAUGUGAAAUCGUGACCAACGCACCAAGUGUGAACGGUUUCAAGGGCGGAUCCAGGGUUCUUUUUGAAGGGGGGUCUCAGGGGUAAAUUUUGUGGGCAAAGGAAUCCCAGUCGCAUUUUUACCACAAGAAGCUCAUUUGACCUCAGGAAUGACAGGGGGGUCGCGACCCCCCCGACCCUCCCCCUGGAUCCGCCCUUGGGUUUAAAGCGAAUCCCGAUCGGUCCUAGAUCAAUCUAAACAAGACCACAUCGACAGGUGGUCUCACCUCAAUUUAAAGUAGCUAGUAUGUAAGUGUGAAGGUUAAUCGUGCUAGCUGGUCAGGAUUAAAUAAUUUAAAUACGCACGUGAAUGCUAACUACGCACGUGUGUUUCUUAAGCGCGCGACUCUUAAAUUGCCCUAUUUUAAAAGAGUGUAACUAAUAUACGACGUACGCAAAGGGAUGCACCAUUAGAUAAUCGAGGAGGAAUGGGGUUUGCAAGAAGUUAUGCUGCACGAUAUAUUUUUUUAGAAAAAAAUGGAUGCAUUGUU
RNAcentral lists this long non-coding RNA (2096 nucleotides) under Actinia tenebrosa (Australian red waratah sea anemone). RNAcentral describes it as "uncharacterized LOC116287398". Lineage: Eukaryota; Metazoa; Cnidaria; Anthozoa; Actiniaria; Actiniidae. The record is from RNAcentral.